RNAcentral lists this unclassified non-coding RNA (235 nucleotides) under Hevea brasiliensis (rubber tree). The record is from RNAcentral. Lineage: Eukaryota; Viridiplantae; Streptophyta; Magnoliopsida; Malpighiales; Euphorbiaceae.
CCUCAAAUGCUUUAAAGACCCAAUCCUUUUCAGCGGUGGCUCAAAUGUGGAAUCUGACAAGUCCAACGUCCGCAAAUAUUUCAAUCUUGACAAACAUAAAUCCAAGGCUGAUUGACUGUUUUCCUCAGUUAUCAUAAAUACAGCAGUUCGCACUUGCUCUAAAUAUUGUAAGAGGGUGGAAAGACCAUGUGGAAGCGAAGUAAAGCCGGGAAAUAACAGAUGGCGGACACUCUUU